CCAGGCUUGAACAGCGAGUGACUACUUCCGAAAGGGAGCUUCCGCAAGGACACUCGUAGAGGUGCUGCAUGGCUGUCGUCAGCUCGUGUCGUGAGAUGUUGGGUUAAGUCCCGCAACGAGCGCAACCCUUGUCUUCUGUUGCCAUCAGGUUAUGCUGGGCACUCUGAAGAGACUGACGGUGAUAAACCGGAGGAAGGUGGGGAUGACGUCAAGUCAGCAUGGCCUUUAUGUCUGGGGCUACACACGUGCUACAAUGGCAGAUACAAACCGUCGCGAGACCGCAAGGUGGAGCUAAUCGGAGAAAGUCUGUCUCAGUUCGGAUCGUAGGCUGCAACUCGCCUGCGUGAAGUUGGAAUCGCUAGUAAUCGCGGAUCAGCACGCCGCGGUGAAUACGUUCCC
RNAcentral lists this ribosomal RNA (399 nucleotides) under uncultured bacterium. Its description in RNAcentral is "bacterial SSU rRNA". It matches the Rfam family "Bacterial small subunit ribosomal RNA", at positions 975 to 1375 of the family's 1533-position model. The record is from RNAcentral.